CGAACUUGGAGAGGCGGUGUCCCUAGACUGCUCAGCAGUCACAGAUUGUCACGGAGCCCCUGGAUGUCUGAGGACCCCAGGCCUGAACUUUCCUUGAGGAAGACUGAUUUCUCUCAGUCUAACUUUGCUCAGUUUGGUGCUGGGCCUCCGACAUUACCCAGCUACAGUCCAAGAAGCUCUUAUCAUCGGCAACCUCAUGACCUUUGGGUUUCAGCGCAGGUCCCCGCUGAUCGGAAAGCUCUUUCUUCUCGCAAUGCUGUCAAGUCCCAUUCUCAAGGGUCCUCCCGGCUCAUUUCCCCGGAGAACAACCGCUUCCUCUUCCUCACUCCCCGUCUCAGUGCCUUUAGCCAGUCUAAAUAUAUGCCCAAGAGGCAUUUCUCAUUUCUUCAAAUAUUGUUUGUAUUUACUGAUUACCUAGUAGGUGGAUUCUAGUCAGGGAGAUCAAUAAUAGACAUGCAAACAAAU
Non-coding RNA from Callithrix jacchus (white-tufted-ear marmoset), 465 nucleotides. Lineage: Eukaryota; Metazoa; Chordata; Mammalia; Primates; Cebidae. The record is from RefSeq and is a predicted model, not a curated record.